RNAcentral lists this transfer RNA (55 nucleotides) under Alteromonas australica. RNAcentral's name for it is "tRNA-Met". It matches the Rfam family "tRNA", at positions 2 to 53 of the family's 71-position model. Rfam says of the family: Transfer RNA (tRNA) molecules are approximately 80 nucleotides in length. The record is from RNAcentral. Lineage: Bacteria; Pseudomonadati; Pseudomonadota; Gammaproteobacteria; Alteromonadales; Alteromonadaceae.
GCGGGAUGGAGCAGUCUGGUAGCUCGUCGGGCUCAUAACCCGAAGGUCGUAGGUU